CUGUAUGGAAGGUCUCAUCAAUCAUGUUUCAAUAAAUGUAAUAAGUAGAUAAAGCAACUGUGUAAGCAUUGAGUUCAGGGGCUCAUUAUUUCAAUAGGAACAAAAGGAAUGUUUCGUCAUUAAUAGAUAACGGAUUUUUAAACGCCUUACAUCGAUGAGGUUUAUAUAAACCAGACGUCAAUCAUCAUAACUUGAGAUUAAAGAGACAUGGAUUUGAAGUGGGUAAUUUUACUGCUGUUGGAUCUCAGUGCAGUUUUUGCAGAAUACGUGGAAAUCCAAAGACAUCAUGAGAUGGAAACGGCAUUAUUUGAUCCUGAUGGCUUUCAACGGGACUUCUGGGUUUGGCGAUCAGAAGCUUCAGGCUUAAAGACUCUUCGUUUGGUCGACUCACGGCAAAGAUAUUUGGUCCUUAUUAAGAUUUGUAUUGAGCCUGUAAAUGAAUCGGACUUUGUUACUAUUCAUCUUGAUGACAUAAGAUAUGCCAAUGACGGACCGUACGACGUUAUUUUCGUGUCUUUCGACAAUGAACCAUGGUCGGUGUAUUCUACAUUCGAAAAAUGGGGUUAUGGCCAUGAAUGGAACAUCUUCAGAAACACUGGACGAAACGGCGAGCCUAAGAAACUACCUAAAGGGGAAUACUUCAUUGGAAUAAGUGUGCAGACAGAUAAGUGGGGAAUCGAGUUGGAUAAAAUUAGAUUGAUAGCGGAAUACCAGUCCCUUAACUCGAAACUAUUUUGUGGCACAACUAUGUUUGAUCGAGGCCCAGACUUCUCGUAUACAGACGACAAGAUGUUUCAUGAUGAUUAAACACUACGCUUAAUAUCUGAAUUACAGUGUGUAAAUAACAAUAGUUUGUACUUCAAUUUUAAAGAAAGUUACGCACAUGAUAAACAUUUUAAACACCUGUAUAAAACAAAUUGUUCUCAAAGAUAGAGCCAAAGCUCUAGCUUGGACACAUACAUGUAGUGUUUUGCCGAUCUACAAGAAUGAUAUUUAACCGUGUGGUCAGUAUUUCAAAAGCAUAUCUACGAACAGGAGUGUGGUGAAAAUGAGAUAUAUGUAGUAAAUAUAGAACAUUUACAAUGAAUGAAGUAAUGGUGAUUUUAGGUAUAUACGCUAGAUACAUUGGAUAGCAUACAUGAACGUAUAAUAUGUCAACAAAAGUGUCUUGUUACCAAGUGGAAAAACUAGUUGUUGGUUAGUAUUUGUAAAUAGAAAGUUUAAUUAUCUUUCACAAAACCAAUCUUUUAUUACAUGAUUUAUUUUCGGUUAAUGUUAAAUGAGGCUUUUUCGCGCAAAUUGUUAAUUUCACUGAGAUCAUCAUCGUCCAUCAAUGAGAAUAGGCGAAACAUAUUUACUUAAUAUUUUCGCUUUGAACAUUGAUGAAUAACAACAGUUUUAUUUACAUAUUUUUCUAUUUACCAUUCAUCUUCCAUACUCAAUCCAAUUUGAAACUGUUGUUUUAGAGUUUAAAAGCGUGUUUUUUUGUUUUCAUGACGCAAUACAUAACGUGAUAAAACAGCAUUAAAGAAAUAGUAUCAAUGAAUAUUCAUUCGGUCGACCAAUAUGUUAAAAAAAAGAUAAUUGUAUAGUAAACAUAAAUGAUUAUUGUUUAAUUAAUCACAUAAACAUCGCAAAUAUAUGGAAAAAAAACGAUUAUAAUUUGUCGAAAGAAUACUAAUUUAAAUUGUUGUUUACUUAUUUUGAUUAAGUGUGCAGGUAUUUUUCUCAUUCUAUUACCUUUGUGCUUUGUAGCUAAAACACCGAAUCGAUAUAUCAUUGUUAUGGCAUCAAAAUCUUAAGCCGCGUCUCUGCUCGACUUAUUUAUACCAUAAUCAUUGAUAAAAACUUAUUAUGAAAGUUGUUUGUAUACACACAUUUAAACGUUUGCUAUUUUUCGUAAUUCAUGUUCUGGUUGUUUGCUUGUUUUUGUUGUUUUCUACAAAAAAAAUAUUCUGCAAAUGUUCUGUAUUAGAUACUGUUUUGUAUAUAUUAUACCUCAUUUUAUUUUACUUAUAUAUUAAAUGUGACGUUAGCCGGUCAAUAUAGUAUGCGGGCCAAUAUUUUAUAUAAUAUACAUAUUUUUUUAUGUCCGGACCUGUCAAAAAAUAUGAUAUGGACUGCUAUUGUCAUAAAAUGGUGAUUGCGGCUUUGCGAUUUUCACCACGGCGAAAAGUUGAUGUUUGUACAUUGUCUGCUUUGUUCAAUAAAACACAUCAAAAACGCUUUAAAAAAUGAAUAGUUGUAUAAAUGUUUGAUAUAAUAAAAGAAAUAUAACAAACCACUUCGGCUUACGCCUUGGUCCAUAUACACUUUCGGAAGCUGACCAGCCGGUCCUUAUAAUCAUAUGAUCCUUAGUGGUGUGUAAUAUUUCUUUAUUAUUAAUAAACUUUUACGUAUUUGACGCGGUCCGGGGACAAUCGCGGUACCAACACCAGACAAAUGACGACAAUAUAUGCCAAAACUCGGCCAAUACCGACCAAACUCGGCCAAUUUGAGUUUCCUCCGUUUUGAUUGUCUACAAAACUCGUCUUAUAUAGGAUUUGCAAAAUGGACUAUUUUCAUUGGCUGUCGAAACUUGCCUAAUAUGAGAAAUAUGCUGGAAAUUAUUUUAAAAGGUAGCCAUUUUGUUUUCCGUUUUAGACUGUUUGAUAAUUUUGUGCGUCGUUUAAAACUAUUUGGAAUUUCUAGCCUAUUAAAUACUUCAACCACUUUUUA
This is a long non-coding RNA of Mya arenaria, 2718 nucleotides long. RefSeq lists it as uncharacterized. The record is from RefSeq and is a predicted model, not a curated record. Lineage: Eukaryota; Metazoa; Mollusca; Bivalvia; Myida; Myidae. The transcript has 2 exons.